Non-coding RNA from Pelodiscus sinensis (Chinese soft-shelled turtle), 976 nucleotides. Lineage: Eukaryota; Metazoa; Chordata; Testudines; Trionychidae. The record is from RefSeq and is a predicted model, not a curated record.
UAGGAAUGCUGAAGUUUGAGACACUUUGGCCAGAGUCCUGAUCUCUUCUGCUGGUCACAGGAUAUAAACUGCAGCUGGGAGACAAGCUCCAGAACCCUCCUGCAAGAGAAGCGCUGCAGCUGUAGAAUAGUAUUAGACAAAAAGGAGGCAAUGAGGACACUUCUGGUGCUACUACUCCUGACUCUGGCCCUGGCAGCUUUCUGCUCUUGUGAAAGAGAUUCAAAGGACUCCCUGAAAUCACAUGAUGCAGCAGGUAUCAAGGUAAAAAGAGAAACUGCCAAUGCCUUUAUGAAGAGGCAGAAGAGGUCCUACCCCUAUUAUGAAAGGUACUAUGAACGGCACAAAUCCCCAAUGGAGCUGAGGAAGGAACAGUGUGAAAACUACGCCCCCUGUGACUACCUCUCUGAACAAAUGGGAUUUUAUGUCGCUUAUCAGCGUUUCUUUGGGAGAUUCUGAAGAAGAGACUGUCCCUUCCCUCACUUGGCUGGGGUCCAGCCUGAUUUCCAUAAAGAGUGGGGUAGGGGAAGGAGGGAAGGAAGGAAAAGAGAGAGGUAAAUUGGGCCCACUUGAAUUCUGCUUAGCAUUGAUCAGAGCAAAAUAGCAAAAUGAACCCAACGUGUCCAUUUUCCAUUACGAGACUGCUGAACACUAGUUGCAACCCUUUUACCCUCCUCCACUCCGGCCUACCAUAGUAUUCUGAGCUUUUUCAGAGAAAGGAAAGUGAGGAGAUUCCUUGGCAGGAAAGUUCCAGAGCAAGUUUAGCCAAAAGAGAAGAUUCUUCUGAAGAAACUCAAAAUAUGACAAAGGGUGGCAGCAAGACCUUUUGGGCUCUCCCCCCGCUCCACCCCCCACAAAAAAAUACAAGGAGAGGAGUGAAUAAUAAAUGAAAUGCAGCGGGGUAUGUGUGUAAUGUUUGCUGUGGAGAACAGUGAUCCUCAUGCCCCUAAUAGAAAGGGACUGCUCCUGCUGCUUUCUG